RNAcentral lists this long non-coding RNA (333 nucleotides) under Elaeis guineensis (African oil palm). RNAcentral's name for it is "long non-coding RNA (EGUI_LNC016974)". Lineage: Eukaryota; Viridiplantae; Streptophyta; Magnoliopsida; Arecales; Arecaceae. The record is from RNAcentral.
GGGCCAUCAAUGCAAGCUCUAGAUACCUUAAUAAAUUUUUAUACCAAUAGUUUAAAAUAUCAAUUUUACUAUGUAUAUCAUAUUUAUUACGUUCUUCCAAAUACAUAUUUGGUGGAGAUUUUUUCAUAUUGAGAACUGGAUAGUUGGCUCAUAAAUUGUUUGUAAUCACUAAAGUCAAUAUCAUCAUCAUGAAUUUUGAUUGAAGAUCCAAUAUUAGAUAAAGCGGUGGAAGCAUUUCUUUGAUACUCAUCAAACAAAUUAUAAAAGAUUGUUAUAAUCAUUUUAUAUGUACUUCAGCACUCUCACUAUAAAGCUUGAUGAAAUAAUUGAAGC